UAACCAUGGUGGGGGCAUUCAAGCUGGUAACUCUUGAAUCUCUCCCAAGCGUUUCUAAUUGAUUCUCGUGGAUCUUGGUGGAAAGUGGAGAUUUUCUUCUUUACUUC
Molecule: small nucleolar RNA, 107 nt
Organism: Brassica oleracea var. oleracea
Lineage: Eukaryota; Viridiplantae; Streptophyta; Magnoliopsida; Brassicales; Brassicaceae
Rfam family: Plant small nucleolar RNA R71
About the family: R71 is a member of the C/D box family of snoRNAs containing the C (UGAUGA) and D (CUGA) box motifs. Multiple nearly identical copies of this snoRNA have been identified in Arabidopsis, and it is thought to function as a 2'-O-ribose methylation guide for 18S ribosomal RNA.
Source: Rfam